This 2706-nucleotide ribosomal RNA is filed under the name Triticum aestivum (bread wheat). RNAcentral describes it as "partial small subunit ribosomal RNA". Lineage: Eukaryota; Viridiplantae; Streptophyta; Magnoliopsida; Poales; Poaceae. The record is from RNAcentral.
AUGGCUGAAAUGACAGCUAUACUGACCGAUACGUUGAUGGUGAAGUUCAGCCGUGCCAUAUCUACAGUGCUGAGUCUGAUGAGGUCAUUGGAGGAGCAAGCAGUAGGAGAGCGAGCGCGGCCGGAGGAGUUGUCGCUCAAUAGUUACGUGCUCCUUCAGGCGUACAUUUUGAUGGCGGUGACGGGGUUAGGCUACCUGGCGCUCACAUGGUCGACGGUAGUCCUCCUGGGUGGCUUCGUCACCUCGUUGGGCAACAAGGAUUUUUGGUGUCUCACAUGCAUUAGCAUGGUACAGGCAGCCAGGAUCUUCAACGACUCAGGGGACAACCUAUUCCCUAUAUUUUUGAACCUAAUGGAGAAUCUUUCGAGGAAAGCUUUUACAGGUCCUAGGGAACAUCUUACACUAAGUUGGUAUCUACCGAGACAAGUUAUUCAGUUGGUAGAAGUUAUCAUUAUCCAAAUAUCAUCCUUGCCAGCCCUGGUAGUGGUUCUAAUGGCAGGGAUCCUUUAUAAACUUGGGCCUGUUGCAUGCAUUGUGCUCUCACUGUGGCGCCUAUGGCAGCAUGAUUAUUGCAACACCGCAUGUGACGACAACAAAGCGAACCUGGUGCCAGCACUUUACAUAUUCUACUGUUUGGUUAUUGGCCAAGGUGUGCUCUUCUUCAUAUGGUGGUUGAUGGAUGUGUCAGUGAUGAGGGUUAUGGUUUUGUUCCGGGAAGAAUGCCAGUUACCAGAAAAGUGGGGCAGCAUAACAAUUUCAGGUUACCUAUAUGAUACCAGAGCAAAAUGCUGGCGAGACCCUACAUCCAUAGAUGGUAUGAAUUUGAUCAACUAUGCUGUUGAUUUGGUUGACUCGGAAUCGCAGAAAGACUACCUCUCAGGAGCAAGGAUGCUCGAUAACUUCAUUAAGAUGGAGGCAGAUGUAAGGUCCCUGCUACUCCCCUCCAGACCAAAGAUUCAAAAGCUGAUUGAUACGCUAGGAUGGAGAAGCAGCAACAGAGAGCUCAGGGAGGUCGUCGCCAGGAUCGUCGCAUACCUUGCCGGUGACAUUCAUUUGUCCCAGUUCCCAGGGGCGAUACACUGCAUAUCCUUGCUGCUCGAUACCACCCUGCCGUAUUGGAACAACCAACAAGGACCCAAUCAUGCUACUGUUAGUGAGUCAGAAAAAGAUGCUGACAGUGCUAGGGAAAGGUUUAUUUCUCUCGCCAAAGAAAUAGAGGAAUGUAGAGGAAGAAGAGUUGCUGGUUUCAGUAAGAAAAAAUCAAUUUUUGUUCUCAAACGCACUGAGGACAACAAAGCAAAAAUUGUCAGAAGUCAAGGUGGUGACAUUCGGCAAGAUGGAGUGGAUAGCUCAACCCAUCAUGGCAGCAAAGAAGAUGGUUGGAAUGAGCUGAUUCUACAAGGCCUCACAAUUCUUGAGAGGCUCGUCUUCGAUCAACACAAUUGCAACGACAUAUGCAACACCCCUGGUCUCCUCCCUAAGAUCAUGGCACCACUGUACUCCGAGACACUAAUCCAAGAUAUCAAUGCAAAUCAAUGGGCCGAUGUAGUGAAUGGGUCACUCAAAGUGGUACACAUGCUCAUCCGUGCCCCAGAUUGGAUUGGCAAAAGUGAUCUGGUCCACAAAAUCUGUUCCAACGGCCAUGCACUGAGCAACCUAGAGAGAAUUCUUUAUCAGGGAAAAAAUGAUGGCACAGAACUGCAGAUGCGAGCCAUAGAAAUCCUGACAGAACUGGCCACUGAUUCGUCAGCCAACCUCAGCACCGAAACAAAAGAAAAUCUAAUCAGAAAGCAGUUGCAGAUAUUCCUUACUGAUGAUGAAGGGGACAAAGAUGGUUUGAACAAGAAGAAUGAUGAUAAAGGGGACAAAGGAAAGCUUAGAGUUACAGCUGGGAAAUCACUGGCAUUGCUUUCCAAGAUGGAAACUGUCUCUAAGUUCAUAAAAAACCAACAGAACAGCAUUGCUGAUUGUCCCAAUGAAAUACUUGAUACUAAGAACGACAUCACGUACAGGACAGUAGCAUUGGAGAUCUUGGAGAACUUGUGCACUCACUGUACAUUGGACAAGGACUAUGUGAAGGAAACCUUGCUGCCAAAGGUCCUCACGGAAGUACUAGCCAGUACACGAGACCUCCCUAAAGAACAGAGAGAAGAGAGAAAAAUGUCUGCAAGGGAAAAAAGAUGUGCAAGAAGGGGAAAUGAUGAAGAAAAACAACUGACAAUAGAACGUAGCGGCCAAAUCAAGAAGUCACCUGAUAAGUCAAGUGAGGAGCUAAAAGCUGAAAUAGAAUACCGAGAAGCAUUGUUAUCACUUACUUUUGUGAUGUGUGAGUGUGACAAACUGAUCAGCGUCGAUGACUUCGAUGAUGUGGUUCGAAAGAUUUCUCUAGAGGAAGGUGCAUUUGUGGGAAAGCUCAGGGCUAUAGUAGAAGAGAACUGUGAGGACAGAGCUGAUUGUCUAAGAAUCGUGAAGCUUUGCGGCCAGAUUGCGGUAUUAAUGCUGCAGCCCGGCCAGGACACCGUUCUGCUCAAUGAAUUCCUGAAGUCGUUGGAAAACGCUUCAAAGAUCCUGUCUAACCUUGAAAGCUGCAUGCUCUUUGCAGGGACUGAUUGCGGAGUAAAGAAGACAGCCAGGCCUCUCCUCUCCGAUCUUGUGGAAAAAGUCAGAAAUUUGGUUGGUAACGAGAAUGUAACUGUAAUUGGCUAA